This 253-nucleotide ribosomal RNA is filed under the name uncultured bacterium. Its description in RNAcentral is "partial 16S ribosomal RNA". It matches the Rfam family "Bacterial small subunit ribosomal RNA", at positions 524 to 776 of the family's 1533-position model. The record is from RNAcentral.
UACGUAGGGUGCAAGCGUUAAUCGGAAUGACUGGGCGUAAAGGGUGUGCAGGCGGUCUGCUAAGUCAGAUGUGAAAGCCCCGGGCUUAACCUGGGAACUGCGUUUGAAACUGGGAGACUUGAGUGUGGCAGAGGGGGGUGGAAUUCCACGUGUAGCAGUGAAAUGCGUAGAUAUGUGGAGGAACACCGAUGGCGAAGGCAGCCCCCUGGGUUAACACUGACGCUCAUGCACGAAAGCGUGGGGAGCAAACAGG